AACCUUCCUCGGAACUUGGGCUUUGGGCGGAGUCAAAGUCGCAGAGGUCUUCUCUGCGUGGGCGGGGAAGAGCGGCCGUAGUUGUAACCAGCGGCUCCUGUUAUGUAAAGUAGUGAAGUGUCAGCGCUCUUCCCGCCACAGCUUUCAGUGCCCCUUCGGUUUGCAGUCGGGCUCACAGGCCCAGGAAGGGAAAGACAUGCCCAGAAGGGAUUUCCUGAUGUAGCAGUGAUUCUUUCUUCAGGACUCACAUAUACUGCAGGCCUCUUGAGAAGUAAGUGCCUGAACCCUUGUUGAUAAUGCUUCGGGAGAAAAUGUGCUGGAAACAGCCUGUGAAAAGGCAGCGAGAAGAGUGAAACACAGAGAACCGGGAACGCAGCACAGAAAAAGAGAGUGCCUGACGCCAUCACCACUAAAGAGAUGUUUACUGAAUGAAUGAACUGCUUAUAGUUUGAUGCUUCCACAAGUUGUCCCAUUACCUGUGUCUGCUGGUGCUUUUCCUUUGCCUAGAAUACCUUUCCCUUCCUCACCUGGCUCAUUCCUAAAGACUCAUCCGUCACAGGAAAUGAAGCCAGAAUCCACAGAUGUCAUUAUCCAUCUGCACGCUUUUGUUUACUACCCAGAAGGCAAGAAUAUUGCAUCUUAAAAGUGUCCGGACUUUUGUUCUUUCUUAUCACAAAUGACUUGAGAAGAUCUGACCAUUCACAGUUACCCAGAGUGGAAGUGCCAAAGACAUGCUUCCUGGAGCGCUUUGAGAUUCAGGUACCAUUAUGGUGAUGAUCACUGUGACAGGGGAGCUGAGAGGGAAAAUUGGGGGGGGGAGCUGCAAAAACCAGGGAGACCUGUUAAAAAUUAUAAUACAAGAGAUAUUUGGGAAACACUCCUGUUUACCACUGCAACAAAAAGAAUAAAAUACCUAGGAAUAAACCUACCUAAGGAGACAAAAGACCUAGGAAACUAUAAAACACUGUUGAAAGAAAUUAAAGAUGAUACAAACAGAUGGAGAGAUAUACCACGUUCUUGGAUUGGAAGAGUUAACGUUGUGAAAGUGACUAUACUACCCAAAGCAAUCUGCAGAUUCAAUGCAAUCCCUAUCAAACUACCAAUGGCAGUUUUCACAGAAUUAGAACAAAAAAUUUUACAAUUCACAUGGAAACACAAAAGACCCCGAAUAGCCAAAGCAAUCUUGAGAAAGAAAAACGGAGCUGGAGGAAUCAGGCUUCCUGACUUCAGACUAUACUACAAAGCUACAGUAAUCAAGACAGUAUGGUACUGGCACAAAAACAGAAAUAUCGAUCAGCGGAACAGGAUAGAAAGCCCAGAGAUAAACCCAUGCACAUAAGGUCACCUUAUUUUUGAUGAAGGAGGCAAGAAUAUACAAUGGAGAAAAGACAGCCUCUUCAAUAAGUGGUGCUGGGAAAACUGGACAGCUACAUGUAAAAGAAUGAAAUUAGAACACUCCCUAGCACCGUACACAAAAAUAAACUCAAAAUGGAUUAAAGACCUAAAUGUAAAGCCAGACACUAUAAAACUCUUAGAGGCAAACAUAGGCAGAACACUCUAUCACAUAAAUCGCAGCAAGAUCCUUUUUGACCCACCUCCUAGAGAAAUGGAAAUAAAAACAAAAAUAAACAAAUGGGACCUAAUGAAACUUAAAAGCUUCUGCACAGCAAAGGAAACCAUAAACAAGACGAAAAGACAACCCUCAGAAUGGGAGAAAAUAUUUGCAAAUGAAGCAACUGACAAAGGAUUAAUCUCCAAAAUUUACAAGCAGCUCAUGCAGCUCAAUAUCAAAAAAACAAACAACCCAAUCCAAAAUGGGCAGAAGACCUAAAUAGACAUUUCUCCAAAGAAGAUGUACAGAUUGCCAACAAACACGUGAAAGGAUGCUCAACAUCACUAAUCAUUAGAGAAAUGCACAUGAAAGCUACAAUGAGGUAUCACUUCACACCGGUCAGAAUGGCCAUCAUCAAAAAAUCUACAAAGAAUAAAUGCUGGAGAGGGUGUUGAGAAAGGGGAACGCUCUUGCACUGUUGGUGGGUAUCUCAUAGAAGUGGAACCACAAUAUUUGUCCUUUUGUGACUGGCUUAUCUCACCGAGCAUAAAGUCUUCAGAACUCAUCCAUGUUGCAGCAGGUGUCAGAGCUUCCUUCCUUCUUAAGGUUGAGUAAUAUUCCAUUCUAUGUAUAUGCCACAUUUUGUUUAUGCAUUCCUCUGCCUGUGAAUUUAGGUUGUUUCCACCUUUGGGCUGCUGCAAAUGCUGCUGUGAAUGUGGAUAUCCAAAUAUCCGUCUGAGCCUCUGCUCCGUUGUUUGGGAUGGCUGUUUCUUUUUUUUUUUUUUUUUUUUUUUUUUUUUUGCGGUACGCGGGCCUCUCACGGCUGUGGCCUCUCCCGUUGCGGAGCACAGGCUCCAGACGCGCAGGCUCAGCGGCCAUGGCUCACGGGCCCAGCCCCAGCCGCUCCUCGGCAUGUGGCAUCCUCCUGGACUGGGGCACGAACCCGUGUCCCCUGGCUCGGCAGGCGGACCCUCAAUCACUGCGCCACCAGGGAAGCCCUGGAUGGCUCUUUCUUGGUUAAUCAUUUUUUAACAUUAUCUUUUAAUUUCCAGACAUGUUAAAUCAGACAUGUGAGGACUUAAUUACAACAACUCCCUACUUUUCUACACACUCCCCACCCCCACCCUCGCAUAGUUUUGGUUAAACAAACAACCAGUGUUUUGUCUGUUGUAACUUUACAAAUGUUGUCAGCUGCUGAGCGAGACGUGCUCCAGUCCCUUGUCUAUUUUCCAGAAUACUUUUUUUUUUUUUCUGGAGUUAACAGUGACAUCAACUUUACAUUUGCUCAGUUUUCUAUGUACUAUCAUCACUACAUUUUCCUUAGUGCCCUGCUACAUGUUUACUGAUAACAAGCUCCACUGGGGCAGGCAUAAGGUUCUUUUUUGUUUUGUUUUGUUUUUCUUCUUUUUGCAGAAGCCCAAUAUCCUCCUGCUCCAGUCUGGAGUGGAUGUUUCUUUGCACCACUGCAUCUUGUGUCUUCCCUUCUUUCUCCUGCUAUUUCCCGCAUCCCAUCUGUGUAGUUCGAAGCACAUAUUUCAAUAGUUUCCUGAGAAAAUUUACAUGGGAUAUAAAAAUGUUGAGUUCUUGCAUGUGUUAAAAAUAUAUUUGUUUUACCCUUACUAUUUGGGAAGAUAGUUUGGCUGGGAAUAGAAACCUGAAUUGAAAAAUCAUUCAGAAUAAGGCACCCUUGUUAUUGGUUUUAGCUUUCAGUGCUGCUGCUGAGAAAUGGUUAUGCUACUUGGAUUCCUUUUUUUUUUUUUCUCUGUUUUAUUUUGAAAAAUUUCAAGCCUACUAUUAAAAAAACCUAAAGAACAGAACAAUGAACACCUGAAUACUCCACACCUAGCCUCAUUAUUAUUAACAUUUUGCCACAUCAGCUUCCUCUGAUUUUGUCUUUUUCUCUCCUGGUCAGUUGGUCUGUCAUCCAUCCAUCCACUUAUAUUUCUAUCUCUCUAUGCAUAUAUUCACAUAUAUAUCUAUAUGAGUAUAAUUUCCUUUGUUGAAUAUUUGGAAGGUACAGGUAUUGUGAUGCCUCCAUCCUAAAUACUUCAGCAUAGCUCUUCUCAGAACAAGGACGUUCACCUAUAUUUGCAUAAUAUUAUUAUCAUAAAAUAAAAUCCAAUAUAGAGUCUGUAUUUGAAUUCCCCAAUGGUCUCAUGUCAUCCUUUAUAGCUGCCUUUCUUCUUUUGCUGAUCCAGGAUCAAAUUGCGGCUGUCACAUCACACGUGCUCAUUGGAAUGGACUCUAUCUGUGCCCCGCCCCUGUCUGGAGACCAUUCAGUGUGCUCUGGCCAACUUGUGGCUGCCAGAAGCUGUGUCCCUGUGCCUAAGGGCUUUUCUCCAGAUUAGCUGUGAUUAUUAGCCUUUCACUGAAUUGCCCAUUUUUAGUCCUGUGCUCCUUCACCUCCAUGUCUCAUGUCUCACCUAUGAAGGCUCUCGGGUUCAUUUUAUCUGGAGGAUAAGCCUCUGCUCGCCUGCUGGUGAUGUCAGAGUGGAGACGGGAGGAAUAGUUGCUUGGCUACAUAGGGUGGGAAAGGAGUGAGGGUUUAACCCUUCUGUCUACAACUUUUCAACCAAUCCUCUGUUUUCAGCCCCUGACUUGCCCUGCCCCCACUUUCCACACUAUUUGUGUCUCCCAGUUCUGUGUGUGUCACCUGGCUAACUUCCUAGUGGCACCUGAGAUGUAGCAGCUGCUCUUUGCUGCAUCCGCUACUGUCUCUCCACCUGCUUUGUAUAUUCCAAAAAAAUCUGCUGCAUCUUUCUUUCCUUAUUGUCUCCUCUUUAGUGCUCUUCGCUCUUGUGGGUCUACACCUUUGAAAAAUUCCUUUAUUGGAGGGAUUCCAGAAGGAGAGGAAAUAGAAGCAUGUGGUAAAUUGGCCAUGUUGACCCAGAAAUUUGUCUGUAGCAUAUUUUUAGUAGAAAAAUACCUGUCAUUUAUUCAAGAGUAUUAAGCACCUGCCGUGUACCAGGAUGUGGGGGUGAGAGCAAAACCAAAGGUAAUUCCUGGGUUUAUGAAGCUAGUAGAACACAUGACAUAUUACAAACUGUGAUGGGAGCUUUGAAGGAAGGUUCAGGUUUCUACACUUACCUGGGUGAACCGACUUGGUCUAGAGGAUGUGAUGUUUAAGAUCUGAAGGAUGAAUAGGAGUCAGGGAGAUAAAGGGGUAAAGGUGGGCAUGGGGCAGAGCAGUGUACUAAGGUCAAUGGGAGCAGAUGGAGGUCUGUGGAGGGAAUGCAGAAAGGGAGGGGAAGAUGGUGCGAGAUGCAGCCAGAGGCAAGGGCAGGGGCCAGAGCGGCCAGGGGUCCCUGGAUCCAGGAAAGGCUGUCUUUGUGCUCAGCGUAGUGGAGACCUCUGAAGGGGCUUUAAGAGUUGACAUGGUUUGAUUUACAUUUUCAAAGCCCACGGGGUGCAGGAUGGCUUGGUGAGGAGGGCGGUGUGGAUGUGGGGAUUCCUGGAGGGAGGCAGCCACCCAGUUGAGAAGUCGUGUCACUUAAACCAGGGUGUUGGAAGCAGAGUUCGAGAGAGGUGGAUGGAUUAGAGAGAUAUGCCGAGACUCGGGGAUGGCUUGGAUUUGGGGAGUGGAGGAAAGGACGGUACGAGGAUGACACCCAAGCCUUUGGUGUGUGGAACUGGACGAAUGGUGGUGCCACUCACAGAGGCCAGAAGCUCUGCAAUAUAACUAGAUGUUAGAUCAGAAAAAACUGAAUUGUCCAGCAAUAGAACAAGCAAAUGGAUUGUCACAGAGGCAGAGUUGGAGCAGCUAUGGCUUCAACCAAUGGGAAGCCAGAAAGUUGAGCAGACUAAGGAGAAAGAACGCGGGUGGUGAUUAUAGAAGAUAGGGUCAGGGUCAAGGUCAAAGAACUGGUGAUCAAUGAAAGAGCCUCUCAACCAAUCCCAAUCCCAGUUUUUAGAGGACACGAUUAGAGAAGGGGGCUCAGAAGGAAAAUUCAAGGAUGUUGGGUAAGUCGCUCCUUUUAUCUUUUUAUUUUUUGAUUGGGGUAUAGUCGCUUUACAAUGUUGUGUUAGUUUCUGCUGUACAAUGAAGUGAAUCAGCUAUAUGUGUACAUAUAUCCCCUCCCCCUUGGACCUGCCUCCCCCCUCCCCCCAUCUCACUCAUCUAGGUUAUCACAGAGCACCCACUGAGCUCCCUGUGCUAUACAGCAGGUUCCCGCUAGCUAUUUGUUUUACACACGGCAGUGUAUAUAUGUCAAUCCCAAUUUCCCAAUUCAUCCCACCCUCCUUUCUCCUCUGCCCUGUGUCCACACAUCCGUUCUCUACAUCUGCGUCUCUAUUCCUGCUCUGAAAAUAGGUUCAUCUGUACCAUUUUUCUAGAUUCCACAUGUAAGUCUCUCCUUUUAAAACGUGAUGUCUCCAUUUCCGAGGGAAGUUGGUCAUCCCAGAUGGCCACAAGGAAGAGAUGGCUUGGCCUCCAACACUGAAUUAUUCAGCCCUCCCAGGCUCUCAGCUCCAGCUCCAACUUCAUCCCCAUCCUGUACCACCCUCUGUCCGCCAGGGUUCAGCGGGAAACAGAGCUCGCUCCAGACGGUUUAGUGAAAAUGCGUUAAUGAAGGCAUCACUCAUGAACCCACGUGGGACUACAAGCCUUCAUCCCUACCACCAGGGGACCAAAGGCAUAAAGGAGGGAGUGGUGUUCUGGAGCUCAGUGAAGACUGGAACCAGGGCAGAGGUGGAAGGAAAAUAGAGGUUACCAGGGAAAUUAUGCCAGAACAGGAAGGAAGUAGGGAAGAGAUAUCCCAGGUUUUCCCACCUUUCUCUUCUCCCGCGUCCUAUCACUCAAACCUGCCAGAAAGCCAGAAGGCAAAGGAGCCCAGGUGAUGCUGUUGGCAGGGUCAGCCCUCUGGACAAGUCAGACAAGGAUGGAGAAUGGACCAGGGAAGGGGGCAGGUGGAGAACCCCUACCCACAUCCCAUCCUGACCUGCCAGCAAAGCUGCCUGUGCUCUGCAGUGGCCACAGUCCACACAGCUGCUGCUGGGAGAUGCCUCCCUCUGAGGGUAACCUCAGCUUGGGACCUGCCCAGACCUCAAUGUGCGCCCCAGAUCUGGCGGGGAGGCUCGCAUAUACCCACACUCAGAAUGAGCACGGAAACUUCUCCCAAGGCCAAAUGGAAAUGGCUUUUGGAUCACCCACCAUUUGGCUGGAUUAUCUGUACCAUUGCCUCCGUCCAUUACUGAGGAGAGCCAGGAGGGUCUGGACUGUCCUUGGAGUUCCAGGAUGACCUUGUGGAGAGCUGAUUACAGUCUGUGUGCGGAAAAAGAAGAUGUCUGACUGUCAUUUUUUCCCUCUCUCUGGUUCAGCGAAGCUUGAUCUUUGGCCUGUGGCUAGAUCCCAUAUUGAAGAGCCUGUCACUGCUGGUGAUUUUGCUUGGAAGACCUCAAUUCAGACUGAAGCAAGCCUUUCCAUUAGCAAAGCUGUACAGAAUCCAUAUUUGCCUUUGAGACUUACAGGCUCCCCGUGUGGUGCUUGGGGGGCCCCUUCUGCACAGCACUGCUCCUCGCCCUCAACCCACUCACAUGCCACCUGGCUGCACCCCACUACCUCCAAGUCAUAAGAAGAACAGAUGCCAACACAGCUGCAGGGGGUCUCAUGUCUGAACCAGGAAGAGAAUGAGAGGCAGAAUCCAAGGUCAGGGCCUGGGAGAAUCCUGGAGAAGCCAUCUUUGAGAAUUAGGAUGUCUUCUUGGUGGGCUUUUCUGGUUGGCCCGGAGAGCAUCUACCUCUGCCACAGCCUCCUUUACAUCCCAAAGCCCCGACUCUAUGGAGCGGCCUCCAGAGCCUCAGAACGGGUCCUUAGCUCUGGUCCUGCCCAUCUCUGAUUUCCUAGGCCCCCUCCUCGUUCUGCCCUCACCACCACUGAGUUCCCAUGGGCCUCUUGACAAAAUUCAUGCACUUUGGGGGACCAGUAACAUAUAGUCAAAAGAGCUAACAUUUAUUUCCACCUAACUAUGUGUCAGGCACUUUUUUGUGUGCAUUUGACCUGCAUCAACAGCUUCAAUCCUUACAGUAACCCAAAGCGUGGUGGUGUCUGAACACUGGAAACCAAAUUUCAACCGAGGAUCAAAAGCAACGGUGAUGUCUUUGCAUGAGAUGCAGCUGAACUUCGAUGCUCCCGCAAUCUGAUUCACAGUUUAUAAUCACAGUUAUCACAGAACCAUUAAAAGCCUAUUAACUUGAAUUCCCACAAUUCCUUGAGGGCAAGGGCAAAGAGAGAGCAACGUAACUUUGAAUGUAAAUGUAACACAAGGUUCGAACAGAGAGAAUCUCUUUUAACUGUGCCAGCGGAAGAUGUCGUAUGGAUGCAUCUACCCUAGCAGAUGGCUGAUGUAAGAAUACAACGUGAAGUCUUAGGAGGCUCGGGGUGUUAUGAAAACGAUUUCUCUGUGAAGCGACUGGUAAAGUGUCUGUCCGCCCCAGACCUCUUUCUGGGAGGAGGAAGAGGAGGUGACUUGUUAAAAUGUGUUAACUGCACGCUGGGUUGGCUGGACAAACACUAUGCGGUGUCUGAUCGAAUCAGCCUGAAAAGAAUCCUCGGCCCCAUUCAGCGGGAGCAAAAGCCCAACUGCUGUCCAAGCCCUCGUCAUGUGAGAAAUCUGAUUUCAUGUUUUUCCACCCUUCAGUGCCUGUGCUGACAUUUCCCCUAACAAUGCUAUUAUGUGCUGUACAGCCAGACAGUGCAGUCAGUAAGCUGUCCUGAGACUUCGGAUAAAACGGAGAGCUCUUAUCUCACUGCAAAACAAUUAGAGACCUCGUGCAGCCGUGAGCUGUGUGCAUGCCAACAUACCAACGCUGGUCUGUUCCCAAAUUUCUGAGCCCUCCCUGGAGACAUACACGCCUGCACAUUAGGAUGCUCACUCUAAAUGGCCCACAUGCGUGUGCCCCUGGCGAGCUGGACGUGGUCCUUGUCUCACCUUUGUGAAGGAGUAUUGGAAUCACCUGAGGAAGGAAAGCGCGUUCUCUCUGCCGUCUCCAGCGCUGGUUCUGAAAUAACUAAUUCCAAUUAAUCCGUCCUCACCUCAUAUGAGUUCUUCCUGCAGGAACUGCCCACAUUCACUGCCCAGUUUGAUCCUGUUCCCACGAUGGAGAAAGCAAAUGGCUUGGUCCCGAGGGAGCAGGUUAUUGACUACGUACUUAAUUAGGCACACAGCCCCGAUGGGGUCAUUCUGCCACUGUCAAAACGACUGGACCAUGGCAUGGCGGAACCAUGAAUUUGGUUUACUAUCAUUUGCCACCGUUGAAUCAAUGGGGUAGGAAUCUAAAUGAAACGUUAAGACAACCACACUGCAGCCUGUUUAUAUAACUGUGCAAAGAAACAGCAUGUGUCUCAGGGUCCUCUGGGGGAAAACCUCUACUUCCCUACUUCCGUAUCAGGCACACUGAGGUUGGUGUUAUGCCUUCUAGAACGGUUUUAAGCGCCGAAGGGAAAACCUCCUAGGAAAAUAGGAUAUAAACUCUUUUAGCCUCCUACUUGAGUUUCCAAAUCUUUAAAAGUCUAAAAGGACAGUGAUCCUUGCCCAAGAAUUAGGCUGCAAUUCUUCUCUGUAGGUACAAGGUCAAAUGGGCCCAGGGGUGCCCUGAAUCCUCUGUCUUUUCACAGAAAGACCGAGAAAGCCUCAAGCACUGACCAGGGCCUUGAGAUUCUCCAGGGUGGUGCUUCUCAAACUUUAUGUGCACACAGAUCACCCGGGCAUCUUGUUAAAAUGCAGAUUCAGAUUCAGUAGGUCUGGGCAUGGACCUGAGACUCUGCAUUCCUAAUAAACUCCCAAGUGGUGCUUGGGUUGCUGGUCCAAGGACCACACCUGGAGCAGUGAGGCCUUGGUGGUGGGAAGGUUCCUUACCUCGCAGCCAACUUAGAAGGAAGUAGGGAAGAAAAGACCUUGCGAAGGCAACAUCGCAAGCCUUGACGCUGUGUCCAUUUCCUAUCUGCCUUUGCAAGGACCCCCGGUGACAGAAAUACCCUGGAAUGUGAAGAAAGAGCAAGCAAGAAAGGACAAAUUGGUGGUCAUCCACGCAAUUAACUGAAUUGAUGAACCUCGGAUCCCAGUCGAGCUGGAGAAAUCGGGGUGUAACGUCAGGACUCAGCCCACGUCUGUCAUUUAUGACUUUGUCUUAUUAUCUUUGUAACAAGGCUCUUUUAUUAGCUCACAGUUUGCUGCCAAGGUGAUGAAAUCGCCAUUAUGUUUUAUGGUACACGGUAAGAGGAGAGAGGGGAUCUUAAAAGACCUACAGAUCUCUUCUUCGUUGAGGGACCUCACCUCCUCUCUCUCCUCCCUGCGUGGGAUGGAGAUGAACUUACCAUCACGUUCCAAGACACUGUUCAUUUCCUCUUCAGCUGAAAAAUAUAUAUGGCUGUUUUGCUUUAUGAUUGUGGAGGCCGGCAUUUUCCAUUCCAGUGCUCUCUGUUCUGAACCACACUUGUAAUUACUGCUGUCUUUUAUUCUGUGUCUUCGGAGGACUGUCCCGUUCAAACUGCGAGAGGACAAAAGCUGCUGUCUUUCCAGGGGUGGAAACAAUAGCAUCGAGUCUUCAUGUAAACCUCAACAAACACGGAAACACAGAAGUGAAAAUAGGAAUAACAAACGCAUCCAGUGGAGAAAUGGAAAUCAAACUAAAUAUUUCCACCUGUCUUUUUCAGAAUUUGGAGAAAGAAUAAACUCAGCACGCCUGCUGCAUCCUAAGGUUCCCUCACAUUGGACAAAUGCAAAAGACACCAGAAUCCAUCACACGUACCAUGUUAAAAGAGUCCAAUAGUCCACGUUUAUCUCGGAGAGUGGAGGAGAAGCUACCACUGAUCUACAAAGUGCGGGAGAAGGCCUCUUACCGUUGUGGCCUCUGCCAUUGCGGAGCACAGGCUCCGGACGCGCAGGCUCAGCGGCCAUGGCUCACGGGCCCAGCCGCUCCGCGGCGUGUGGGAUCUUCCCGGACCUGGGCACGAACCCGCGUCCCCUGCAUCGGCAGGCAGACUCCCAACCACUGCGCCACCAGGGAAGCCCUAAAGAGAAUUUGUUAUGAUUUUCAGCAAUCUGGCAAUAAGGUUGAGUUUCAAAGCCUUGAGCUGAUGCACACACCCAAGACCUCACCCUGUGCCGUGUGUGCCAUCGCUGUCGAUGAAUUUAAUUCUUCUUUUUUUAAAUAAAUGUAUUUAUUUUGUUUA
Molecule: RNA transcript, 10721 nt
Organism: Orcinus orca (killer whale)
Lineage: Eukaryota; Metazoa; Chordata; Mammalia; Artiodactyla; Delphinidae
Gene: TEX36
Gene name: testis expressed 36
Exons: 10
Source: RefSeq, a predicted model, not a curated record